RNAcentral lists this ribosomal RNA (253 nucleotides) under uncultured bacterium. RNAcentral describes it as "partial 16S ribosomal RNA". It matches the Rfam family "Bacterial small subunit ribosomal RNA", at positions 524 to 776 of the family's 1533-position model. The record is from RNAcentral.
UACGUAGGGUGCGAGCGUUGUCCGGAUUUAUUGGGUUUAAAGGGUGCGUAGGCGGUCUCUUUAGUCAGUGUUCAAAUACGGUGGCUUAACCACCGGUCGGGCAUUGAUACUGGGAGACUUGAGUAAGGUUGAGGCAGCUGGAAUUUGUGGUGUAGCGGUGAAAUGCUCAGAUACCACAAGGAACGCCGAUCGUGAAGACAGGCUGCAGGGCCUUUACUGACGCUGAGGCACGAAAGUGCGGGGAGCAAACAGG